AGAGAACGCUGGCGGUAGGCCUAACACAUGCAAGUCGAACGGCAGCACAGUAAGAGCUUGCUCUUACGGGUGGCGAGUGGCGGACGGGUGAGGAAUACAUCGGAAUCUACUUUUUCGUGGGGGAUAACGUAGGGAAACUUACGCUAAUACCACAUACGACCUACGGGUGAAAGCAGGGGAUCUUCGGACCUUGCGCGAUUGAAUGAGCCGAUGUCGGAUUAGCUAGUUGGCGGGGUAAAGGCCCACCAAGGCGACGAUCCGUAGCUGGUCUGAGAGGAUGAUCAGCCACACUGGAACUGAGACACGGUCCAGACUCCUACGGGAGGCAGCAGUGGGGAAUAUUGGACAAUGGGCGCAAGCCUGAUCCAGCCAUACCGCGUGGGUGAAGAAGGCCUUCGGGUUGUAAAGCCCUUUUGUUGGGAAAGAAAAGCAGCAGGUUAAUACCCCGCUGUUCUGACGGUACCCAAAGAAUAAGCACCGGCUAACUUCGUG
This 492-nucleotide ribosomal RNA is filed under the name uncultured bacterium. RNAcentral's name for it is "partial 16S ribosomal RNA". It matches the Rfam family "Bacterial small subunit ribosomal RNA", at positions 31 to 507 of the family's 1533-position model. The record is from RNAcentral.